CAAGGGAAAGAUAAAAUAGAACUCUGUGAAGGGAGUCAAAAGGCGUGAAAUUGUUGCGAGAGAAGCGAUUCAAGUCAGCGUAGCUAGGCCCAUCAAGCUUCAUGCUUUGGACUAGCUUUGCCAGCGGUCUUGUCCCAGAGACUUGACUUUGUAUGCCCAACGUGGUCUACACAGGCAGCCUCUCUCUCUUGGGGGGCCAGUGGCAUGGCUGGUGGAAUGGCUUUCAAUCGACCCGUCUUGAAACACGGACCAAGGAGUCUAACAUGUAUGCGAGUAUAAGGGUGGCAAACCCGUAUGCGCAAUGAAAGUGACAUUCGUUGAUUGAGAAUGGCCUGAUGACCAGACAAGCAAUAUAUGUCCCUCGCACGGCCAUUGCCCAAGUUCCGUGGUAGAAUCCAUCAACAUGGAGUUGGAGCAUACAUGAUAGGACCCGAAAGAUGGUGAACUAUGCCUGGACAAAGCGAAGCCAAAGGAAACUCUGGUGGAGGCUUGUAGCGAUUCUGACGUGCAAAUCGAUCGUCUGAUCUGGGUAUAGGGGCGAAAGACUAAUCGAACCAUCUCAUAGCUGGUUCCUGCCGAAGUUUCCCUCAGGAUAGCAGAGACCUAGUGGAAGUUGCAUGUGGUAAAGCGAAUGAUUAUUGAUCCUGGGGCUCAAAUGGGCCUCAGUCUAUUCUCAAACUGUGAAUGCGUGCGGUUGGACUGUGCUUAGCAAUAGAAGCCCUGCCAGCAAUGCUUCAGUCUCUAGUGGGCCGUUUCUGGUAAGCAGAACUGGCGAUGCGGGAUGAACCGAAAGUGAGGUUA
RNAcentral lists this ribosomal RNA (801 nucleotides) under Cantharellus heinemannianus. Its description in RNAcentral is "eukaryotic LSU rRNA". It matches the Rfam family "Eukaryotic large subunit ribosomal RNA", at positions 354 to 1182 of the family's 3401-position model. The record is from RNAcentral. Lineage: Eukaryota; Fungi; Basidiomycota; Agaricomycetes; Cantharellales; Hydnaceae.